Micropterus dolomieu (smallmouth bass) is the source of this 1184-nucleotide long non-coding RNA. RefSeq lists it as uncharacterized. The transcript has 2 exons. The record is from RefSeq and is a predicted model, not a curated record. Lineage: Eukaryota; Metazoa; Chordata; Actinopteri; Centrarchiformes; Centrarchidae.
CACGCGACUCGCUGAGGGGGCUUUUAAUUUGCAACGAGGCACAAAAGGAGAAUGGCCGGAGGAAGAGACAAGUUUUGGUAAAACCAAGGACAGCUGGCAACCGGUGGCUUCCCUGACCAUCCCAAAUGUCUGCAGUGCCUUAAGCAGGCCCUUGGGUAUUCCUAGCCAAUAUAUCCUGAAAGGCCUCCUCCAGAUGGCCGGUGCUUUCUCCUCUCGUCCCGUGAUGGAAUGAAAAGAUCAGCUAAUUAAAUGAAGUCCCAUAUCCAUGUGAAAGACCCGCAAGAGUCCUCAGGGAGAAGAGCUGCAUGCAAAUCAAUCCCCGGUGCUUUGAAUUGUGUCCAACAAAACAACACAUCUCUGCAAACCAUAAAGUCUUUAUUUCCACAGCACACAGACACACUAAGAAUCAAAAGUCAUGACAGAAGCAGAUAAACAAACAUAUUUGUAACAAUGGGGGAUUUCUAGUGAUAGAAAAUAGUUCGGUCAAUCACACACAAUCCCAUAGCAGUCUUAUAGAAAGUAAAGAAUUAGAGUGAUGCGGCCCUCCCACUGAGCAAACAAUAAAACAGUUAUCAACAGUCUCAUGCUCCUUUAAUCAAGGAAGAAGCACGAUAUGUUGAUUUAAAAAAUAUACAAUAUAGAAAACAUAAAAAAUACCCAGCCUCUGAACAGUAGUAGCUUUCCGUUGAUCCACAUAAUUACGAAUAUAAAAUUAGCACUUCCUUUCCCCCAUCAGAAACAAAAAUUUGACAGCGUUUUAAGAAGACAUUGCUAAGUGUGGAUUAUGUUUCCUGAUAUGCAGGAUUCCUUACACAAAUGCGGAUAUUUCAGAAUGCAAUUUUAAAUUCACUAACAGAUGUGUAGUAAGCUGGUGCCUCUUUUUUUUUUUAGAACUCAGUAGACUCAGUAGACAGUGAACAUAAAGAUAGGGCCACUAUGGUGAGAUGCUGCAGGGGCUGAUGGGAGCCUUGGGGCCUCACUGCUCAAACGUCUGUGUUCGCCUCAGGUUGUCCUUCACACGGACAAACUCUGGGAUCUUCUCUUGGUUCUCCCGCUGCCUGAUCUCUUCCUGCUCAUACUGGAAAAAUAAAUAAAGGACUAGUCAGUGUUUGCAUUGGGGAAUCUAAAGAGUUGUGAGGUGAUUAAUGGGGCAGACAGAAAUAAAAACAAAGUUCUGCAACACA